UACGUAGGUGGCGAGCGUUGUCCGGAUUUACUGGGCGUAAAGGGAGCGUAGGCGGACUUUUAAGUGAGAUGUGAAAUACCCGGGCUCAACUUGGGUGCUGCAUUUCAAACUGGAAGUCUAGAGUGCAGGAGAGGAGAAUGGAAUUCCUAGUGUAGCGGUGAAAUGCGUAGAUAUCACAAGGAACACCAGAGGAGAAGUCGGGCGACUGGACAGGUACUGACGCUGAGGCACGAAAGCGUGGGGAGCGAACAGGAUUAGAUACCCUGGUA
This 269-nucleotide ribosomal RNA is filed under the name uncultured prokaryote. Its description in RNAcentral is "partial 16S ribosomal RNA". It matches the Rfam family "Bacterial small subunit ribosomal RNA", at positions 524 to 792 of the family's 1533-position model. The record is from RNAcentral.